This 178-nucleotide small RNA is filed under the name Thalictrum thalictroides. Its description in RNAcentral is "miRNA". Lineage: Eukaryota; Viridiplantae; Streptophyta; Magnoliopsida; Ranunculales; Ranunculaceae. The record is from RNAcentral.
UGUGGACAUACACAAAAUGUGUGUCCACGAGACAGCGGUUUUCUAUUGGUCCACGUCACUAAUUGUUUAUAUUCACUAAUUUUUAUUUUGUAAUAACAAAAACUUAUGUAAAUUUAGUAAUGACGUGGACCAAUAGAAAACCGAUGUCCUGUGGACACACAUUUUGUGUAUGUUCACA